Molecule: ribosomal RNA, 1553 nt
Filed under: uncultured bacterium
Lineage: Bacteria
Description: partial 16S ribosomal RNA
Rfam family: Bacterial small subunit ribosomal RNA
Source: RNAcentral
AGAGUUUGAUCCUGGCUCAGGACGAACGCUGGCGGCGUGCCUAAUACAUGCAAGUCAACCGAACUUAAAGUAGUAAUAUUUUGAGGGAAGUGGCGCACGGGUGAGUAACGCGUAGGUAAUCUGCCUUUAGGACUGACAUAAUUCCGCGAAAGCGGGACUAAUAUCAGAUAAUGCAGCGGCUCGACAUCGAGACAGUUGUUAAAUUCCUCGGAAGCCUAAAGAUGAGCCUGCGUCCCAUUAGGUAGUUGGCAGGGUAAAAGCCUACCAAGCUUACGAUGGGUAGCUGGUCUGAGGAGGAUGAUCAGCCACACUGGAACUGAGAUACGGUCCAGACUCCUACGGGGAGGGCGCAGUAAGGGAUAUUGCUCAAUGGCCGGAAAGGCUUGAAACAGCAACGCCGCGUGGAGGAUGAAAUAUUUUUAUAUGGAAACUCCUGGAAGAAGGGGAAAAUAAUCCGAUUAUUCUGGGUUGAUUGUACCUUCAAAGUAAGCCCCCGGCUAAAGUACGUGGCAGCCUUCCGGGGUAAUACAUAGGGGGGUUAGAAUUGUCCCGAUUUACUGGGUGGAAAGGGGGCUCAGGGGGACCUGUGAAUUAGAAGUUGAAAUACCGGAACUUAAAUCUUCACGUCACUCGGCCACUAGGAAUUGCUUACGCUUUGAACCUGGGAGACGGUCAUGGGAAUAUCUCGCUGCUAGCAAGUGAUAUGCCGGUCAGAUGUCCAGAUAGCACACCACAGAAUGCGAGCUAAAGCAGUUAUGUGUGCUCCACAACCUGGCUGCUUAUAGAAGCGGCAAGAUGUGGAGGCAGCAACCAGGAUUAAGUACACCCGGUGGUAGUCACCACCUCACACCGAUGAGUACUAGACUGUCGGCGCUUUUCUCAAGGUACAGUAUCCCAAGUUAACCAGCCAUUAAGAUUAUCCACCUGGGAGCUCGAGUUGCUAAGCGUCGAUAAUUUCAAAGUGAAAUGACGGGGGCCCCCCCCAACCCAGUGGACCAUGCGUUUUAUUCGGACGAACCGGGAAGACCCUUACUUAGGCUGGAAAGCAAAAUUAAUCCUGGUGGAAGGUCGGGUUCCCGUAAGUGAGUUGGUCCAGUUGCUGCAUGCCUUUCCCCCACCUCCCUCCCGUGAGGUGUUGGGUUAAGUCCCGCCAACCAGCGCAACCCUUCGGUUUUUAGUUGCCAUCACGUAAAGCUGAGCACUUUUAAGAAGACCCCCUACGCAAGUAGUGAGGAAGGUGGGGAUGACGUCAAGUCCCCAUGGCCCUUACGCCUAGGGCCACACACGUGCUACAAUGGCCAUUACAAAGGGCUGCAAUACCGCGAGGUGGAGCUAAUCCCUAAAAAAUGGUCUCAGUUCGGAUUGGAGUCUGCAACUCGACUCCAUGAAGCUGGAAUUGCUAGUAAUCGCGCAUCAGCACGGCGCGGUGAAUACGUUCCCGGGCCUUGUACACACCGCCCGUCAAGCCAUGGAAGUUGGGGGUACCCAAAGUCGCCUUUAAUAAGCGCCUAAGGUAAAACCAAUGACUGGGGUUAAGUCGUAACAAGGUAACC